CAUUCACGGAGAGUUUGAUCCUGGCUCAGGACGAACGCUGGCGGCGUGCUUAACACAUGCAAGUCGAACGAUGAAACCCUUCGGGGUGGAUUAGUGGCGAACGGGUGAGU
This 110-nucleotide ribosomal RNA is filed under the name Streptomyces adustus. RNAcentral's name for it is "partial 16S ribosomal RNA". It matches the Rfam family "Bacterial small subunit ribosomal RNA", at positions 1 to 111 of the family's 1533-position model. The record is from RNAcentral. Lineage: Bacteria; Bacillati; Actinomycetota; Actinomycetes; Kitasatosporales; Streptomycetaceae.